This is a long non-coding RNA of Aethalodelphis obliquidens (Pacific white-sided dolphin), 279 nucleotides long. RefSeq lists it as uncharacterized. NCBI's taxonomy places the organism in Eukaryota, Metazoa, Chordata, Mammalia, Artiodactyla, Delphinidae. The transcript is spliced from 2 exons. The record is from RefSeq and is a predicted model, not a curated record.
GGAAUGACCCCUCGGGGCCCAUCCUGGGGGAGGAGCAGUGGGCUGACGUGGGGAGAAGCAGCCCCCAACCCUAACCUCCUGUCCUGACCCCCAGGAGGCUCUGAAGUUGGGGCCCUUCCCCCCACGGAGCCAGGCCCGCAGACGGGUCUCAAAUGGUACCUGAACGUCCUGAUCGGGGUCUCGGUGGCCUUCGUCCUGCUGCCCCUCGUCCUCCUCGUCCGACACCGGGGUCAGACCAGACGCAGGAAGUCGGGUGAGUAGGGAACAGGGUGACCCAGA